Molecule: small nucleolar RNA, 131 nt
Organism: Poecilia formosa (Amazon molly)
Lineage: Eukaryota; Metazoa; Chordata; Actinopteri; Cyprinodontiformes; Poeciliidae
Source: Ensembl
AUCCUCCUCAUGCUUACCACAGACCGAGCAUCAGAAUACUGUCUGUAUAGAAACAGGAGGUACAUAAAUCUCCAACACUGGUGCAGUGCUGGCUGAUGUCUGGUAAGGCAGCUUUGUUGGGUGAGACAUCG